CAAACCAUAUGCUUAACAUAAGAGCCUCUUUAUUCAAUUAAUUAAUAAAAAUGGCAUCAUAAAUAAGGCCUCACAGGCUUAGGUUAUCAGAUUAAUCAAUGGUGAUUAUCCCACAUAUUGGGGGAACACUGUUUCUUUAUUUAUUGACUGUAUCAUGCUGAUUACGAUGCCUCAAGGGGAUUUGACUUUGCAUACCGCACAGGGAAGAAGUCAGAGUGAAAGGGCGCUCAAACGCUGCUGCACACCAUGACCUGACCUUACUUAAGGGGAGGGUUAAUGCUGUACCUCGACGGUAGUUCAGAAGCACACCGACAUCUUCAUUCAAUCAAUCAAAACUAUUUAUAGCGCGCUUUUCAUCCAGGAAUUGUAACUCAAAAUUACUUUACAGAUUCAAAUCAUUACCACCAGCCAGGCCUCACCAGGACCAUCAAAGGUCACUCAUCUUAAUUGCCAGUUGCAUUGGGCCAUAUCGUACUGUCCAAUAUAGUACCAGUGUAUUUUUUUUUUUUUUUUUUUUUUUGUGGGGCCAAUCC
This is a long non-coding RNA of Hippocampus comes (tiger tail seahorse), 533 nucleotides long. RefSeq lists it as uncharacterized. The record is from RefSeq and is a predicted model, not a curated record. The transcript has 2 exons. Lineage: Eukaryota; Metazoa; Chordata; Actinopteri; Syngnathiformes; Syngnathidae.